GAUCAACUGAGUUUUGCAUAUACAUACUAUAAGUUGAGAAAGAUGAACCCAGACAAACCUUUUUAUCUCAACAUGUUCAAGGAUUGUGAAAGGCGAAAGAUAGCUAAGCUGUUCCGUCACAGAUCAGAUGAGCAGAGGAAUAUUCUCUCUCAAUCUGAGACAGAGUAAAAGCUGAGUGACUCCUGGUUUUGGCUGAUGAUUCAAUUUUUUUGUUAUACGCGUCACUAUAUUGUAGUUGCUUGCUGGAAAGAGGGUCAUCGUGCCAUAGCCAUUGUGAUUGUGUCUGUUGUACAUUACCAAAAUUCUCUAGAGAAAGCGAUACACAUGCCAGCCCUAUCGAUAUAAAGCAACGCAAGGUGGAUUCUGCUGGCUCAUCAUCUCAUCUUUCUGGUGCAAAGAACAUACUACCACCAUUACAGCUUCCAUUCUAUUAAUUUCAUUGCCUUGACCAACUCCUAGUGUUAAAGCAUCCUAUUAAUUUUCCAUUGUAUCUACAUGAGUUGGUGAAGAAAAU
RNAcentral lists this unclassified non-coding RNA (514 nucleotides) under Hevea brasiliensis (rubber tree). Lineage: Eukaryota; Viridiplantae; Streptophyta; Magnoliopsida; Malpighiales; Euphorbiaceae. The record is from RNAcentral.